This 497-nucleotide ribosomal RNA is filed under the name uncultured bacterium. Its description in RNAcentral is "partial 16S ribosomal RNA". It matches the Rfam family "Bacterial small subunit ribosomal RNA", at positions 28 to 507 of the family's 1533-position model. The record is from RNAcentral.
GAUGAACGCUGGCGGCGUGCCUAAUACAUGCAAGUCGAGCGAACAGACGAGGAGCUUGCUCCUCUGACGUUAGCGGCGGACGGGUGAGUAACACGUGGAUAACCUACCUAUAAGACUGGGAUAACUUCGGGAAACCGGAGCUAAUACCGGAUAAUAUAUUGAACCGCAUGGUUCAAUAGUGAAAGACGGUUUUGCUGUCACUUAUAGAUGGAUCCGCGCCGCAUUAGCUAGUUGGUAAGGUAACGGCUUACCAAGGCAACGAUGCGUAGCCGACCUGGGAGGGUGAUCGGCCACACGGGAACUGAGAAACGGUCCAGACUCCUACGGGAGGCAGCAGUAGGGAAUCUUCCGCAAUGGGCGAAAGCCUGACGGAGCAACGCCGCGUGAGUGAUGAAGGUCUUCGGAUCGUAAAACUCUGUUAUUAGGGAAGAACAAAUGUGUAAGUAACUAUGCACGUCUUGACGGUACCUAAUCAGAAAGCCACGGCUAACUACGUG